AGUGAACGCUGGCGGUAGGCCUAACACAUGCAAGUCGAACAGCAGCACAGUAAGAGCUUGCUCUUACGGGUGGCGAGUGGCGGGCGGGUGAGGAAUACAUCGGAAUCUACUUUUUCGUGGGGGAUAACGUAGGGAAACUUACGCUAAUACCGCAUACGACCUACGGGUGAAAGCAGGGGAUCUUCGGACCUUGCGCGAUUGAUUGAGCCGAUGUCGGAUUAGCUAGUUGGCGGGGUAAAGGCCCACCAAGGCGACGAUCCGUAGCUGGUCUGAGAGGAUGAUCAGCCACACUGGAACUGAGACACGGUCCAGACUCCUACGGGAGGCAGCAGUGGGGAAUAUUGGACAAAGGGCGCAAGCCUGAUCCAGCCAUACCGCGUGGGUGAAGAAGGCCUUCGGGUUGUAAAGCCCUUUUGUUGGGAAAGAAAAGCAGCAGGUUAAUACCCCGCUGUUCUGACGGUACCCAAAGAAUAAGCACCGGCUAACUUCGUG
Molecule: ribosomal RNA, 492 nt
Filed under: uncultured bacterium
Lineage: Bacteria
Description: partial 16S ribosomal RNA
Rfam family: Bacterial small subunit ribosomal RNA
Source: RNAcentral